UUUGAAACCUAUUAGGGAUGGUAUGGGUCACAUUCAUGGCGACUUUUCAAACAAGAAUUAGUGAUUAAAUAUAGUUCUGAUCACAAUUUAAAUUUUUUGGUGGGAAUACUUUUUCAAUUUUUGGGGUUCUAUAAAUUGGCUACAUCUAUCAACAAUGUGAUAGCACAUAACCACUUACAUUUUUUUAGAAGACAAAAAAAGGUGAUGGAGAGGAAAACACUUGCUAGCUUGUGCUUCUUUCUCAUUGUUCUCUUAGCUGCUCGUAAGUUUAUAUUAUAGUAAUUUGGGAUAUCAUUUUGUAUUUUAGUCAUUGUGUUUAACUCAUAAAACCAUUUUUUAGUACAAUACUUUUUAUUAGAAAAUAAAAACAUGUAUGCAAGCUAUAAUUUAGAGUUUAAUUUUUAUAUGUUUACGAUUUUUAAAGAAUAAUUUUUCAGUUCAGUAAUUAUAAAUAUAUAUACAUAUAUUUUUUUUGAGAGAAUGAAUAUAUCUAUAUAUGUAUGUACAUAUACAUAUAUAUAUAUAUAUAUAUAUAUAUGAUUAUUCAUGAUUGCUUGACACUUUCAAUCAGAUUUUUAAAUACUUGAUUGUAAAUUCUAAUUGAAAUAAUCUUGGUAAAAUUUACUUUUCUCUCGAUCAAAUUAUAUAUCACUAUGGCCAUCUUCCCUUAUGAAUUGAAGAAGGAAAACAUAAAAACAAAUCUUAAAUUUGAUGCAACAAUUUUUUUUCUAUUUAGAAAAAAAUAG
RNAcentral lists this long non-coding RNA (746 nucleotides) under Medicago truncatula (barrel medic). RNAcentral describes it as "lncRNA gene34860". Lineage: Eukaryota; Viridiplantae; Streptophyta; Magnoliopsida; Fabales; Fabaceae. The record is from RNAcentral.